CACCACACGACUCUCGGCAACGGAUAUCUCGGCUCUCGCAUCAAUGAAGAACGUAGCGAAAUGCGAUACGUGGUGUGAAUUAGAGAAUCCCGCGAACCAUCAAAUCUUUGAACACAAGUUGCGUCCGAAGCCAUCCAGCCGAGGGCACGCCUGCUUGGGCAUCACGCACCCAGUCGCUCUACGCC
RNAcentral lists this ribosomal RNA (185 nucleotides) under Wolffia globosa. RNAcentral's name for it is "5.8S ribosomal RNA". The stretch from base 9 to 164 matches the Rfam family "5.8S ribosomal RNA". From Rfam's summary of the family: 5.8S ribosomal RNA (5.8S rRNA) is a component of the large subunit of the eukaryotic ribosome. It is transcribed by RNA polymerase I as part of the 45S precursor that also contains 18S and 28S rRNA. The record is from RNAcentral. Lineage: Eukaryota; Viridiplantae; Streptophyta; Magnoliopsida; Alismatales; Araceae.